This is an unclassified non-coding RNA of Gorilla gorilla gorilla (western lowland gorilla), 102 nucleotides long. It matches the Rfam family "Y RNA". From Rfam's summary of the family: Y RNAs are components of the Ro ribonucleoprotein particle (Ro RNP), in association with Ro60 and La proteins. NCBI's taxonomy places the organism in Eukaryota, Metazoa, Chordata, Mammalia, Primates, Hominidae. The record is from Ensembl.
GGCUGGUCAGAAUGCAGUGGGGUUUACAACUAAUUGAUCACAACCACUUACAGAUUUCUUUGUUCCUUCUCCCCUCCCACUGCUUCAUUUGACUAGCCUUAA